GUGAGGAAUAUUGGUCAAUGGUCGCAAGACUGAACCAGCCAUGCCGCGUGCAGGAUGAAUGUUCUAUGAAUUGUAAACUGCUUUUCUAAGGGAAGAAACCUAUCCUCGUGAGGGUAGUUGCCGGUACCUUGGGAAUAAGCAUCGGCUAACUCCGUGCCAGCAGCCGCGGUAAUACGGAGGAUGCAAGCGUUAUCCGGAUUCAUUGGGUUUAAAGGGUGCGUAGGCGGAUUAAUAAGUCAGUGGUGAAAUCUUGCGGCUCAACCGUAACAUUGCCAUUGAUACUGUUAGUCUUGAAUGCAGUUGAGGUAGGCGGAAUGUGUAAUGUAGCGGUGAAAUGCUUAGAUAUUACACAGAACACCGAUUGCGAAGGCAGCUUGCUAAACUGUGAUUGACGCUGAUGCACGAAAGCGUGGGGAUCAAACAGGAUUAGAAACCCGGGUAGUCC
This 445-nucleotide ribosomal RNA is filed under the name uncultured bacterium. RNAcentral describes it as "bacterial SSU rRNA". It matches the Rfam family "Bacterial small subunit ribosomal RNA", at positions 354 to 796 of the family's 1533-position model. The record is from RNAcentral.